AACGUAGGACGCAAGCGUUAUCCGGAGUUACUGGGCGUAAAGGGCGUGUAGGCGGUCUUGUAAGUCUGAUGUGAAAGCCCCGGGCUCAACCUGGGAAGUGCAUUGGAAACUGCGAGACUUGAGUACGGGAGAGGGCAGUGGAAUUCCUGGUGUAGGAGUGAAAUCCGUAGAUAUCGGAAGGAACGCCGGUGGCGAAAGCGGCAUGCUGGGUCCCUUCUGACGCUGAGGCGCGAAAGCCAGGGGAGCAAACGGG
RNAcentral lists this ribosomal RNA (253 nucleotides) under uncultured bacterium. RNAcentral describes it as "partial 16S ribosomal RNA". It matches the Rfam family "Bacterial small subunit ribosomal RNA", at positions 524 to 776 of the family's 1533-position model. The record is from RNAcentral.